Non-coding RNA from Anas platyrhynchos (mallard), 1241 nucleotides. Lineage: Eukaryota; Metazoa; Chordata; Aves; Anseriformes; Anatidae. The record is from RefSeq and is a predicted model, not a curated record.
CUGCGCUUGUCUCCCGAGGAGCAGCAGGAAGGCAGCGUGUGAGCAGAAAGCUUUAGCAGGGCGUGCUUUGGUUUUCCACGGCCGGGACAAUAUUCCCUGUGAGAGCAUCCCUCAGCACCCCUCAGCAUCCCUCAGCAGAGCAAAGGAACAACACUCCAGCCUAAAUUUAGUGCCCCAUGUUUGUGAGCAAUCUGCAAUUAGCAAGCAAUGCAUCCACGUGCACAAGGGCAGCGGAGAAAGGGGGCUGUGCUGGCAGGUGGAAAGCAGCAGCCCACGGCGAGCAGAAUGAAUGCGGCCACUUCAGCCUCCUCCAAGCUCCCGUGCCGUGUCCAUCACCGUGGUGCUCAUCACUGGAAGAUAACGAAGCUCUCCUACCACCACAGGCUAACGGAUUGGGGUUUUCUACUCUGCUCCUCCGUCCUUCCAUCGUAUUAUUCCAGCUCAGCAAGAAGCAGAAGAACAGUUUAUAAUUCAGGAGAAGGGCUGGGAUGUUUCCCCUCUUGUGGGAAAAAUAAACACGAGUGUUGGCUCUGGUUUCCUACCAACUCCUACUCGCUCCGAGCCUGGUGCGUCGGGAAUCAGAGUGCAAGUUAAUAAUAAAUAAGGGCACAAACGCUGCAAUAAGAACUUAAAGCUGGUUUCAGUCCAAACUGCUGAGCUCGCUACAGCAUAGGCAGCGCUGGGGCUCAUUGCUGCAGGGGUGGCAGCAUGGGUUAGAGCAAAGGAUGGGCCUCUUUUGGAGGGGGAAUGGCAUUUGUAACGGGGUGCUGGUGAUGUGUGAACACCAUAUGGGGUUGGUGUGAGUUGCCCAAGGUUCAGAGACCCCAUACUCAGUGGCAAUGUGCCUGGAGAGCAGGGUGCCAGCCCCAGACGCCUUUCCCACCUCUGCAGCCCAGCUCAGCAGUGCUGUUGCACCCUCAGCCCCUCCAGCCCUGCUGGCAGCAUCCUUGCUGCUGUGUGGAGCCAAGCAGCCACUCUUUGUAUGCCCGAAUCCCAGGAGACCUCAUUAGGAAGCAGGCACAGCAAAUGGUUGCUUCUAUUGGGAUGUCCAAAACUCAACCCAUGGGGGAAGGACACCCAAAAUGUGGUGGGACAUGCUCACAGCUGCGUUUCCACCUCCCUCUUGGUGUCUCCCCUUCCCCGGCGUCCCAGCCUAAACGGGUCUCUGGGCUGGUGAGGGACAAACAGGCCAAAUUAUCUGUGAAAAAUCUAUGGAAAUAAUAUUCCUGAGAGCUGGCCCA